RNAcentral lists this ribosomal RNA (416 nucleotides) under uncultured bacterium. RNAcentral describes it as "bacterial SSU rRNA". It matches the Rfam family "Bacterial small subunit ribosomal RNA", at positions 30 to 449 of the family's 1533-position model. The record is from RNAcentral.
AUUGAACGCUGGCGGCAUGCCUUACACAUGCAAGUCGAACGGCAGCACGGGGCAACCUGGUGGCGAGUGGCGAACGGGUGAGUAAUGCAUCGGAACGUGCCAUUGAGUGGGGGAUAACGUAGCGAAAGUUGCGCUAAUACCGCAUAUUCUGUGAGCAGGAAAGCAGGGGGACCGCAAGGCCUUGCGCUCUUUGAGCGGCCGAUGUCAGAUUAGCUAGUUGGUGAGGUAACGGCUUACCAAGGCGACGAUCUGUAGCGGGUCUGAGAGGAUGAUCCGCCACACUGGAACUGAGACACGGUCCGGACUCCUACGGGAGGCAGCAGUGGGGAAUUUUGGACAAUGGGCGCAAGCCUGAUCCAGCCAUGCCGCGUGAGUGAAGAAGGCCUCGGUUGUAAGCGUCUUUCUAGUUGUAGAAG